GACGAACGCUGGCGGCGUGCCUAAUACAUGCAAGUAGAACGCACAGUUUAUACCGUAGCUUGCUACACCAUAGACUGUGAGUUACGAACGGGUGAGUAACGCGUAGGUAACCUGCCUGGUAGCGGGGGAUAACUAUUGGAAACGAUAGCUAAUACCGCAUAAUAUUGAUUAUUGCAUGAUAAUUGAUUGAAAGAUGCUAUUGCAUCACUACCAGAUGGACCUGCGUUGUAUUAGCUAGUAGGUGAGGUAACGGCUCACCUAGGCGACGAUACAUAGCCGACCUGAGAGGGGGAGCGGCCACACUGGGACUGAGACACGGCCCAGACUCCUACGGGAGGCAGCAGUAGGGAAUCUUCGGCAAUGGACGAAAGUCUGACCGAGCAACGCCGCGUGAGUGAAGAAGGUUUUCGGAUCGUAAAGCUCUGUUGUAAGAGAAGAACGGGUGUGAGAGUGGAAAGUUCACACUGUGACGGUAUCUUACCAGAAAGGGACGGCUAACUACGUG
RNAcentral lists this ribosomal RNA (505 nucleotides) under uncultured bacterium. Its description in RNAcentral is "partial 16S ribosomal RNA". It matches the Rfam family "Bacterial small subunit ribosomal RNA", at positions 28 to 507 of the family's 1533-position model. The record is from RNAcentral.